This is a long non-coding RNA of Osmerus eperlanus (European smelt), 573 nucleotides long. RefSeq lists it as uncharacterized. Lineage: Eukaryota; Metazoa; Chordata; Actinopteri; Osmeriformes; Osmeridae. The transcript is spliced from 4 exons. The record is from RefSeq and is a predicted model, not a curated record.
AGAAAGCUAUGCUGAAACAGUAGUCUUACUAUGAGAGCGCGAAAAACCUUGCCGGGCGGACAAACAAGAGACAAACGAAUCCUUUCACGUUGCAUUUACCGUGUAAUAUCCCUGCGUAUUUAUUAAUCACACGACGCCGCCUCAGGUGUUGAGUCAUACGGUAACAUUCCCAGUUUCGAACAACAAAAAAACUAGGAUCUGACGUUCGCUACAGGAAGUCCGGGCAGGUAGCUCAGUGUAGUUAUUCCGCAGUGUAUCUGGCUUGGCUGUUGACGAGAAACCUUGAAAGUGAGGAGAAGGUGAUGAGAAGGGGGGAAAAGUAAGAGACAAGUUAACCCAUUACAGAAACCAUUCAUUUACAAGGUUGCUUCUGUGCAUAAAAACUCUCCCCUUCCUGUGAAGUGGGCCAGAGAGUGUGGCCUGAGCCUCGCAGGGCUAGAUUACAGGUGUCGGCCUAGACCCUCGCAGUCUCUGAGCCUGGCACCAGUCUGUGAGGAGGAGAACUGAGGACUUCUACGUCUCCCACACCAUUGCUGGUCACAAGCGCCCUCUACUGGUUCAGAUAAACCACAG